GACGAACGCUGGCGGCGUGCCUAAUACAUGCAAGUCGAGCGAAUCAAUAGGAGCUUGCUCCUGUUGGUUAGCGGCGGACGGGUGAGUUACACGUGGGCAACCUGCCUGUAAGACUGGGAUAACACCGGGAAACCGGUGCUAAUACCGGAUAAUCCUUUUCCUCUCAUGAGGAAAAGCUGAAAGUCGGUUUAGACUGACACUUACCGCUGGGCCCGCGGCGCAUUAGCUAGUUGGUGAGGUAAUGGCUCACCAAGGCGACGAUGCGUAGCCGACCUGAGAGGGUGAUCGGCCACACUGGGACUGAGACACGGCCCAGACUCCUACGGGAGGCAGCAGUAGGGAAUCUUCCACAAUGGACGAAAGUCUGAUGGAGCAACGCCGCGUGAGCGAUGAAGGCCUUCGGGUCGUAAAGCUCUGUUGUUAGGGAAGAACAAGCACCGGAGUAACUGCCGGUACCUUGACGGUACCUAACCAGAAAGCCACGGCUAACUUCGUGCCAGCCGCCGCGGUAA
RNAcentral lists this ribosomal RNA (512 nucleotides) under uncultured bacterium. RNAcentral's name for it is "partial 16S ribosomal RNA". It matches the Rfam family "Bacterial small subunit ribosomal RNA", at positions 28 to 523 of the family's 1533-position model. The record is from RNAcentral.